GUGGUAUUAAUUCGAUGCAACGCGAAAAACCUUACCUACCCUUGACAUGUCUGGAACCUUGCUGAGAGGCGAGGUGCCUUCGGAGCCAGAACACAGGUGCUGCAUGGCUAUCGUCAGCUCGUGUCAUGAGAUGUUGGGUUAAGUCCCGCAACGAGCGCAACCCUUGUCAUUAGUUGCCAUCAUUUAGUUGGGCACUCUAAUGAGACUGCCGGUGACAAACCGGAGGAAGGUGGGGAUGACGUCAAGUCAGCAUGGCCUUUAUGUCCUGGGCUACACACACGCUACAAUGGCCAGUACAAUUGGUAGCUAAGCCGCGAGGUGGAGCCAAUCCGUAAAAGCUGGCCUCAGUUCAGAUUGUAGGCUGCAACCCGCCUGCAUGAAGAUGGAGUUGCUAGUAACCGCAGGUCAGCAAUACUGCGGUGAAUACGUUCCCGGGUCUU
This 440-nucleotide ribosomal RNA is filed under the name uncultured Zoogloea sp. RNAcentral describes it as "bacterial SSU rRNA". It matches the Rfam family "Bacterial small subunit ribosomal RNA", at positions 941 to 1382 of the family's 1533-position model. Lineage: Bacteria; Pseudomonadati; Pseudomonadota; Betaproteobacteria; Rhodocyclales; Zoogloeaceae. The record is from RNAcentral.